This is a long non-coding RNA of Medicago truncatula (barrel medic), 593 nucleotides long. RefSeq lists it as uncharacterized. The transcript is spliced from 2 exons. The record is from RefSeq and is a predicted model, not a curated record. NCBI's taxonomy places the organism in Eukaryota, Viridiplantae, Streptophyta, Magnoliopsida, Fabales, Fabaceae.
AUCCAUUUUAUCUUCUUCUUUCCCUGCUCAUUGUGGUGCGUUCCCUCUCCCUACGAACCUCUUCUCUCUUCUCUCACAUCACCUCCAAUCGGCAAGUUCUCCUCUGAUUUUUCACCAUUGACCGAAGCAAAUUGAUAUAGUGGACAUUUUAUGCUCAGUUUUCUGCCCAGCAUUGUGCGAGUUGGCUGCUGCAAUGUUGGGCUGUUGCGGCUUUGCUUUACUACUGUGUGCGCGUCCGUUUCACAUGGAUUGUUGACCACUGCUGUCUUCUUUACAUGGAUUGGAUUAUCCGAAACAACACCAAUUCAACAAGCUUGUAAAUGUUCCGACAUAAUGAAGGAAAUGAGCAAUAAGAAAUUUGAGAAGUUAAAUGUCAAUUUGUAUGUUGAGAAGAAAGGAAUUGGAGUAUCAUUCUUUUGUUGCUGCUAUGGUGAUUUUUUGUUACUUAUGUACUUAGGUUUUAGGGAAAAAUUGAACGGUUUAUUUGUUACACUUGUUGACUAUUUUGUGAUUGUUUAAAACAAUUAUGUAAGAUUGAAAUCAUAGUAUUUGUAUCAUAAUAGAAAUGUAUUGUAUUAUGAUAAUGGUAAUGA